AUUGAACGCUGGCGGCAGGCCUAACACAUGCAAGUCGAACGGUAACAGGAAGCAGCUUGCUGCUUCGCUGACGAGUGGCGGACGGGUGAGUAAUGUCUGGGAAACUGCCUGAUGGAGGGGGAUAACUACUGGAAACGGUAGCUAAUACCGCAUAACGUCGCAAGACCAAAGAGGGGGACCUUAGGGCCUCUUGCCAUCGGAUGUGCCCAGAUGGGAUUAGCUAGUAGGUGGGGUAACGGCUCACCUAGGCGACGAUCCCUAGCUGGUCUGAGAGGAUGACCAGCCACACUGGAACUGAGACACGGUCCAGACUCCUACGGGAGGCAGCAGUGGGGAAUAUUGCACAAAGGGCGCAAGCCUGAUGCAGCCAUGCCGCGUGUAUGAAGAAGGCCUUCGGGUUGUAAAGUACUUUCAGCGGGGAGGAAGGGAGUAAAGUUAAUACCUUUGCUCAUUGACGUUACCCGCAGAAGAUGCACCGGCUAACUCCGUG
Molecule: ribosomal RNA, 490 nt
Filed under: uncultured bacterium
Lineage: Bacteria
Description: partial 16S ribosomal RNA
Rfam family: Bacterial small subunit ribosomal RNA
Source: RNAcentral